This 1043-nucleotide long non-coding RNA is filed under the name Rosa chinensis. Its description in RNAcentral is "sRNA RchiOBHm_Chr7g0219241". Lineage: Eukaryota; Viridiplantae; Streptophyta; Magnoliopsida; Rosales; Rosaceae. The record is from RNAcentral.
UUUCAACCUGGCAAAGCACCCUCUACAACAGGUUUCAAUUUGAAUUAAUCGCGUUAAUGGGUUUUAAUUAUAGAUGGGUGGAGAUUUGGGGAUUCCUACGUUCCCUGAAGAAGACUGGGAGCCCAAUACAAUCACAUGAUAAAAUGGGUUGAUGAAUUUGAACCUUUGAGCUGAUCAUCGAAUGGUAUUCCUUUUGAAUUUGAAUGUUGACAUCUGGGUUUUAAUUCUCUUGGUUUGUUCUGAUCUAUUUGCUGCUUCAUAUUUUGUAGGCAUGGUUUAAGUUGGGUUUCUUAACUUAUCUUUUACUCUCAUGGAUAUCAGGUAGCUGAUUUGUAUGUUUUCUUAUAUAUAAAGGGCAUAAGCUUUUGUAAAUAAUUGUAGCUUGAAUACUGAUGUGUAAUUGACUUAUGUUGCUUUUGAGUUUCAAAUUGGCAGUAGUUUUAUCAGUUUGUACAUGAGUUUUCUUCAAUCUGUAAAAUGCUGUUGCAUUCGGUAAAAUGAUAGUAGUUUCUGUUUAUUGAUUUAAGUUGAGGAUUUUCUUGACACCUGGAUAUAGUUUAUAUGUGUCUGCAAUGAUUCACUGCUUUUGAAGAAUGUCCCUUUUUUUUGCUAUGGUGAAUGUGGUUCCCUCAGCUGUGGUAUUUGGUGUGGAGUGAUUGCAUCAUGUGUUUUAAUGUUGCCAUUGUGUAUGGAGUAACUGUAUUUUUAUCUUCUGGUGUAGUGACCAUGGUCAAAUGAGUACUUGCUUUUAAUUUUGUUAGGGUCAAUACAGUUGCCCUGCAUCUUCAUGGUCAAUGCAUUUUUGUGAUUGAAAAAUUAUUUUGGCAAACAUUAUUUCCCCUGUUUCCUCUUGUCUAUUAUUCUCAUUUUCAGAGGCAUUCAGUAAGCCAUAGGGGUGGCGUUCUUAUGAUGGUGGCAUUCUGUAAGCCAUAGGGGUGGCAUUCUAUUUGUUGUUUUCUUAUGAUGGUGACAAAGUGUGCCGUUCUUAUGAUGUCUCUGUUUGUGUUCUUUACAACCACUAUGUCUGUGUCAUUUACUUUGAG